CACCCCCACCGCAGCUGGUGGGACCCUUCCUGUCUGGUUUCAGAAGACCCUCCUGAUGUUACUUCUGUGUGACAUCAGCUGCACUCCUUCCCCCUCGGUCUCCCUGUUCUCAAUUUCCCCUGUACUCUCCCCUAUUUUGUAUUUUUCCCUCUGUUUCCUGUUCUUUUGCUCUUGGGAUCGUUUUUCUCUCUCCCCCUCUCUUAUUCUCUUCCCCUUGCAGACAGGGUGCUGGGCAUGGCGGGGCCCCAGCACUGUAAGCACUCACUUCUACAAGCAAACUUCAGACUUUAUCAAGGUGACCUUUCCGAAGUGACACAUCUAUCACAGUCUCCACACAUUUCUUAACCAGUUACCAUGGACAAACUGUGCUGCCAUUUUUAUUGAGUUACUAUCUUUCUAUUAAGUGUCACUACAAAUUCUUGAGUGUUGUGGCCCUGACUGCAUUUUACUCUAAGUCCCGUGGUUUUUAAUGCACAAUUUUGCCAGUGGGUUGAAUCUGAGGAAUGCAGACAUCACGUGACAGCAGAAGUAACUGCCCACUCCCCUUGGAAGAACUGGUUGUGUGUGUAUAUCUCUCCCCAACUCUGCAUUAGUGACGUCACAGUGGUAACUGAAACCCACCAGUGGGAGUGUGUUUGGGGCGUAGGACUCAGAAUUUACAUCUCUAUCAUUCCCAGGCGACACUGAUGCUGCUGGGGCAGACUUCGAGGACCACUGUCUGAGGGUCAGACCCCCCCGUGCCUCUCCUUUGCGGGAGCUGGGAGCCACACCACCCCUGCCCUCCUUCUACCCUGACAGGGUGAGAGGAAUUGAGGAAGGCCCAGUGGAAGCCCCAUCUGUGGUGUCUACACUGAUGGAUUCACCGCCUGGGAAGACUGGGCUGCACUCCUCUGCUUCCGGAUAGGGAGCAGUGCUUCUCCCCUUCUCCCUGGCCUUGGCGAGCUGGCCUUGGAGUCAUCCCCGUUUGGAUCCACAUCCACGCUCCACAGGCCACCAGCUUAUGAGCUGCGGGACCUCGUGCAGAUCAAUGAACUUUCCCAGCUUCAAGUUUUUUCAUCUGUAGAGUGGGGAUAAUAAUACCUUGCUUGAAGUAUUGUUGUGAAAAUAAAUUGGUAUCUGAUCCCCUAGUUACAAGGUUGGGUAGGAAAGCAGAAGUCCUUGUAACACAUUUUCCCGAAGGAAUUGAAUACCUAAGGAAUUGAGUCCUCACUCAAGCCUUCCCCACUCCACAGGAACGUGUAUCCCAGACCAUCUCAUCAAUACCUUUGCUUGUCAGUCUUUGCUACUUUUGCUAAUGGAUACGUUAAGACAGAAUUCAAUGCCAAUGGAUUGCAAAACGAAACUGCAAUUCUUUCAAGAGCUGGAAGAUUUCAGGAAGCCUGUGAGUCAUGUGAGAGAUGUGCCCUAACCAUACGCUCCAUGGACAGGGUGGAAGCUGACAGUCAGACCAGAUGGGGGAAGAGAGAAUCAACAAGGAUGACGAUGGGAGAGAGCUCUUUCUGCAAGUGGGCAUUCAUGAAGACUCCCAAUACCUAGGAAGAGCAGAUCCAUCUGGAAUGCAAAAAGGGGCCUUUUGAGUCAGGAAGACGGCAGCCAGCCUGGAAGUGGUCAUGAGAACAAAUUUAAACCGUACCAGGCUUCAGCUGAACCUGGGAAGUCCAAAGCACUGCAAAACGGGAAAUCCGUAUUAAAGGGUGAUUCACAGCCUGAUCUAGUUAAAUCCUCAGACGUGAAGCAGACCACACAGUAAACGAAACCAAUGGCAAAAAUUCAAUGAAAUAAUGUAAAACUGGAGUACAAGUUGGGAGAUCUGGUCUCUUAUCCAGAUUUGAGAAAGUAUUUGUGUCCUUUUCGGAAAGUUACUGAUUUCUUUGUACAUUAUUUGCUCAUAUAAGUUCGAAUGAUGUAAGAUGUGGGUUAUCUCUGGCUUGAACAUGUCACAUCAUUGUAUAUGCCUUCAAGCUCUAAAGGUCAGUUUAGGGGAUGGACCAAAGCCCUACAGGCCUUUCUCGAGACCGACAUAAGCGACACUCACUGUUUCGUGGUGUCCCAUCAGCUGGCGAAGGGUCUGAAAAACCAUUUCUGAACUGACACAGAAUCAUACUAGACUCACCAGCUCUGUAAAGUAACAAAUUAGAUCACAAGCAACGGAACAAACGUCAAUAUGCUGACUCUGUUUCUGAAUUUAUUUUAUGUCUUCUAGUAGGGUAUUACCUUUGUACUCUUUUUCCCUUUGAGGCUUCACAGAACUUCAAUUUAGGAUGAAUAGCUAGAUCAAACUUGGUCCUGUCCAGACUGAGACCCCCUCCUCGGGACACUCUCUGAGCUAUUGGCUGCCGCCCUGGUUCACAUCUUCGGUAUCUCACCGCUGAAGUACCUCUGCUUGCUUGGUUCCCACCAGCAGUUGGCUGCCCUUCCAGUUGGUUCCAUGAGCGAUGCUAGAUUACUCUUCCUGGAACCUCACCCACAUGUGCAUGAUGUGAAAUUCCAACUCCUCACCCUCAGGUUCAAGGUCCUCUUCAAUGGCUCUGAUCCUCCUUUUUGGUUUGGUCUCCUCCCAACACCACUUCUUCCAUUUACAGAGGUCUGAUCACCCCCUUCAGCAGUGUCCUCCACCUGCUGUUUCUUCUGGUUUAAUUUCCAACUCUCCACAACUCUGAGUCUUUCAGAUCCAGAUCAAGCCAUUGCCUUCUCCAUGCAAGUGGGGACCUUGCUUUCCUUUAAUAAAGGAUGCUUGAUCCAUUUACUCAUUCAACAAACUUUUAGUGCAGAGCUACAAUGUGCCAGGCACUGUUCUAGCCAGAGAGUCAAAACUCCUCAAUUGGCAUUUUAUCACACACUUGCUCUAAUAAUUUAUAAUAAAGAGUUAACCUUCAUCAGCAAUGUACUGCUCCCAGCAGUGUGUCAAGUACUUCCCAACGUGUAUUAUUUCCUUUUCCCAGUAACCUUCUGAAGUGAGGACUGGUAUCCUCCAUUUCUUAGACGAAGCAGUGAGGCACAGAGAAAUUGAAUGAUUUUCCCAGCCGGGAUUCACAGUUGGCUUUCCGGCUCCGGAACCCCCCUCUCAGCCACUAUCCCGCUUGGUCUCUCCCCACUUGGCCAUCACUGCCCCUGCCAUGGGCUGCCUGGCACCAUUUUUAGUGUUUCGCUUGUGCAUAUCCUGUCUCCCCAACUUUAAUAAAUUCCGUGUCUCUCAAUGAGCACAACAGCACAGCAUCUAGGGCAGCUGGGUUCACCCAAUCAUGAUGAGAUUUUGCCGGAAUUCCAUGUUGGAAUCAUGGUAAUAAGUGUAUGACAUGAACUGCUUAUGUUUUAUAGUAUGUGGGGAAAACACUGGGAAAUCAUACAGCUCCUCAGUUUCACCUACACUUCCCACCUCCCCUGAAACUUGCCACCUCUAUCGGGCUUGUCCUUCAAUAUUAUUAUGACAAUAAAACCUGUGACAUUUUUGCCUUA
Aethalodelphis obliquidens (Pacific white-sided dolphin) is the source of this 3456-nucleotide long non-coding RNA. RefSeq lists it as uncharacterized. The record is from RefSeq and is a predicted model, not a curated record. NCBI's taxonomy places the organism in Eukaryota, Metazoa, Chordata, Mammalia, Artiodactyla, Delphinidae. The transcript is spliced from 2 exons.